Molecule: transfer RNA, 71 nt
Filed under: Undibacterium sp.
Lineage: Bacteria; Pseudomonadati; Pseudomonadota; Betaproteobacteria; Burkholderiales; Oxalobacteraceae
Also listed under: 1 other name
Description: tRNA-Ala
Rfam family: tRNA
About the family: Transfer RNA (tRNA) molecules are approximately 80 nucleotides in length. Their secondary structure includes four short double-helical elements and three loops (D, anti-codon, and T loops). Further hydrogen bonds mediate the characteristic L-shaped molecular structure. tRNAs have two regions of fundamental functional importance: the anti-codon, which is responsible for specific mRNA codon recognition, and the 3' end, to which the tRNAs corresponding amino acid is attached (by aminoacyl-tRNA synthetases). tRNAs cope with the degeneracy of the genetic code in two manners: having more than one tRNA (with a specific anti-codon) for a particular amino acid; and 'wobble' base-pairing, i.e. permitting non-standard base-pairing at the 3rd anti-codon position.
Source: RNAcentral
GGAAAGAUGGUGUAAUGGAAGCACAUCUGCAUUGCAUGCAGAAGGCGUUGGUUCAAACCCAAUUCUUUCCC